Long non-coding RNA from Monopterus albus (swamp eel), 863 nucleotides. RefSeq lists it as uncharacterized. The transcript has 2 exons. NCBI's taxonomy places the organism in Eukaryota, Metazoa, Chordata, Actinopteri, Synbranchiformes, Synbranchidae. The record is from RefSeq and is a predicted model, not a curated record.
ACCACUGCCUAGAGACUCAGGAAAUUGCCUGCCUGUGACGUCACUGUGACGCGUAAUUUAACGCCGCUUUAUAAUAGAGCUCUUACAGCAGCAGAAAGAGAGGAACGAGGCGGCGUUGGGCUUCAGGUUGUGUGGAGAUCUCAACAUACCAGAACAAACUGAAAACGUCGUGUUUCUUUGUUGCUUUUGGAAAUUGCGCCAGCCUACGAAAAAGAAGGAAACGGGCAAAGAAACCGCAGAUCAGGCAACCUCUGCUAAGUGCUCUUUUCCCACAGGAGCCAUGGUGGCAGCAGUCCUUAAGCUCUAUUUAAUUGGCACAGCUCUGACUGUCCUUGCUAUCAUUUAUGGAAUAGUGGACUCCGUUGGCGGCCUGAUGUACAUCCAGGACCAUGACUACAUUCUGGAUGUAGACCACCAUACACAGAGAGAACUCUCAUCAAGUAGCCACCAGAGAGGAUCGUCUGUGAAUAAGAACAUUGGCUCAUAAGAGAAAUAUCUUGGCCGUGAAGCAGAUCUGCUGGGUGGACAUGCUGGACACUGUGGCAAUGGACUGAGAGACAGUGAGACUUUAUAAUAACCGUACUAGUUCCAUGGUUGUGUAGCUGCAUCAUUGUAAUGUCUGAUUUGUAGGACGUGUUCUGCACUAAGAGUUUAUGCCAAUGCAUAAUCACACAUCACUUAUAUUUGUUUUACUUUGUACCUUCUGCUGUUAAACACUAUAGCAGCUAGUCUGUGUUACAUCUACAAAUUUGAUGACGACUAUAACAUCACUACUGAACAAUGAUUUGCACUAAAAGCAUGAAAGGUUUUGUUUUUUGUUGUGUAUUUGAGUUUUUCUUUUUAAUAAAAGGAUUGAAAUUGCA